AAAAUCCGUCGACUUUAUAAAUCGUGAGGGUUCAAGUCCCUCUAUCCCCAAAAAAGCUUG
Molecule: transfer RNA, 60 nt
Filed under: Saharanthus ifniensis
Lineage: Eukaryota; Viridiplantae; Streptophyta; Magnoliopsida; Caryophyllales; Plumbaginaceae
Description: partial transfer RNA-Leu
Source: RNAcentral